UUUAGAGAAGUAAAUAGAGUUACAUGUCUUUUGAUUCCAGUUUCUUAUUCUUGUUUUUGGUUUUAAGAAGAUAUAGCAGAUUUUGCAUGAAGAAGUGUCAGAUUUAUUUGAAUAUUUAUGCGUUUUUUUAAUGUAAUGACUUUGCUAGGAAGAAAUGGAGCGGUCGAAAAUUAUUAAGCGUUGCGUGUGUUUUUAUGAAGAGAUGAGAUCCAAGCAUGAAGAUUUGAUAUUGUUCUUUGUGCUUACGUUAUUUGUUUACUUUAGGGAUAGAAGUAGUGGCCAACUGUCGUUAGGCGGAAGAAUGAAUAGUAGAAUUAGACGUGAGGCUUUAGAGCGUAUUGUUGGUGAGGGUGAUAGGAAUUAUAUCUGGAAGUUGAGAAUGAACACAAAUUCCUUUGCUAAUUUGUGUGAGUUGCUCGAAGUUCAAGGAGGACUUAAAGAGGAUGGUCAUGUAAGCUUGCCGGAGCAGGUUGCAACUUUCUUAAUUAUCUUAGCGCAUCACAAAAAAAAUCGUAGUCUGUAGGUUAGAUUUUGUAGGUCCGGAGAAACAGUUAGUAAGUAUUUCAAUAAAGUUUUAAAGGCCGUUAUACGUAUUCAAAGCAUUUUGUUUGCCAAGGCUACAUCAGUUGAAGAGGAUUGUCUUGACCCCACAUGGAGAAGGUUUAAGGGUUGCUUGGGAGCAUUAGAUGGCACUUAUAUAGAGGUGACAGUCUCUGAGUCUGAAAAGGCAAGAUAUCGAACAAGAAAGGGUAAAAUAUGCACCAAUGUCUUAGAAGUGUGUAACCGGGAGAUGGGUUUUGUUUAUGUACUCAGUGGAUGGGAGGGAUCGUCACCUGAUUCACGGAUACUUCGAGAUGCAAUAACUCGUCGUAAUAGUCUUAAGAUACCCCACGGUAAUUACUAUUUAGUUGAUGCUGGUUACACAAAUGGCCUGGGUUUCUAGCACCGUAUAGAGGCACUCGAUAUCAUAUUAGAGAGUGGGCCCAAGGAGUACGUGCACCUCGCAAUUACCAAGAAUAUUUUAAUAGGGUUCAUUCUUCUGCUAGGAAUAUUAUUGAGCGAUGCUUUGGUUUGCUGAAGAAGAGGUGGUCAAUCUUAAGAAGCCCUAGCUUUUACCCUCUAAAGACACAAACUCAAAUAAUUAUUGCUUAUUGUUUGCUACAAAAUUUUAUUCGAAAGAGUAUGGAUAUAGAUCCAAAGGAGCAAGGUAGCAUAUUGGAUGAAUUUAUGCCUGAUGGAGAUGAAGCAUAGGACGGAAUGAUUGAUGUGGUUGAAAACACGAACGAGUGGACACACUGACGUGACAACAUAGCAACUGAAAUGUAUGAAGAGUGACGAACAAGUCGUAUGGAGUAGAAAUAGCUUAAUUUGUGUUUGAGCAGAAUAAUGAACAUUGUAAUCGAUUAAGUAGUGAACAUUGUAAUAUCACCAUUUUAAUUUGUAAGACUUGUUGUAAAGGGAAACAUUGUAA
Molecule: non-coding RNA, 1471 nt
Organism: Arachis ipaensis
Lineage: Eukaryota; Viridiplantae; Streptophyta; Magnoliopsida; Fabales; Fabaceae
Source: RefSeq, a predicted model, not a curated record